GUGGAUGCUUUGAAGAUAUUGGCCUAGCAAAAUGGCAAUGGGUUUAAAAAAUAAGAUUCAUAAGAAGUUGUCUUUUCAGACAUAUCAAACCCCUAAACAAGAGAAGAUACUGAGGCCUGUUGCCACAAACCCGUAGAUCCGAACUUGUGAUGAUAGUCUGCACAAGCUUGUGUCUACAGUUUCCUUUAAGAGUGGUGGAAAUGGAAAGAGGGGGUGAUAUGGAGGAAGGAGACCUUUUGUUCUGCAAUGGAUGAAGUUCUUCAAUGAUUAAUUUAUAGUCCUGCCCUCAGUUCCCUUAUCUCUUACAAUUACUCGCAGC
This is a long non-coding RNA of Rhinolophus ferrumequinum (greater horseshoe bat), 319 nucleotides long. RefSeq lists it as uncharacterized. The record is from RefSeq and is a predicted model, not a curated record. NCBI's taxonomy places the organism in Eukaryota, Metazoa, Chordata, Mammalia, Chiroptera, Rhinolophidae. The transcript has 3 exons.